GGUCAGUUUCAGGGCGGGGUGAAAGUCCCCACUGGCGGUGACGGGCGGCCGUGAGCGGCGCCCCCAGUCCGCGACCCGCGAAAAGGCGGCUGACCCGGUGCGACUCCGGGACCAACGGUCACAGUCCGGACGGAAGAAACGGAGG
Molecule: non-coding RNA, 145 nt
Filed under: Olsenella sp.
Lineage: Bacteria; Bacillati; Actinomycetota; Coriobacteriia; Coriobacteriales; Atopobiaceae
Description: FMN sequence
Rfam family: FMN riboswitch aptamer (RFN element)
About the family: The RFN element is a highly conserved domain that is found frequently in the 5'-untranslated regions of prokaryotic mRNAs that encode for flavin mononucleotide (FMN) biosynthesis and transport proteins. This element is a metabolite-dependent riboswitch that directly binds FMN in the absence of proteins. In Bacillus subtilis, the riboswitch most likely controls gene expression by causing premature transcription termination within the 5' untranslated region of the ribDEAHT operon and precluding access to the ribosome-binding site of ypaA mRNA.
Source: RNAcentral